This 889-nucleotide ribosomal RNA is filed under the name uncultured bacterium. Its description in RNAcentral is "bacterial SSU rRNA". It matches the Rfam family "Bacterial small subunit ribosomal RNA", at positions 9 to 873 of the family's 1533-position model. The record is from RNAcentral.
UAGAGUUUGAUCCUGGCUCAGGAUGAACGCUAGCUACAGGCUUAACACAUGCAAGUCGAGGGGCAUCAUGGAGUUUGCUUGCAAACUCUGAUGGCGACCGGCGCACGGGUGAGUAACGCGUAUCCAACCUUCCCUAUAGUAGAGGAUAGCCCGGCGAAAGUCGGAUUAAUACUCUAUGUUUUCCGUUGCAGACAUCUAAGAUGGAACAAAGGCUUGCCGCUAUAGGAUGGGGAUGCGUCUGAUUAGGUAGUCGGCGGGGUAACGGCCCACCGAGCCAUCGAUCAGUAGGGGUUCUGAGAGGAAGGUCCCCCACAUUGGAACUGAGACACGGUCCAAACUCCUACGGGAGGCAGCAGUGAGGAAUAUUGGUCAAUGGGCGAGAGCCUGAACCAGCCAAGUAGCGUGCAGGACGACGGCCCUAUGGGUUGUAAACUGCUUUUAUGCGGGGAUAAAGUUCACUACGUGUAGUGUUUUGUAGGUACCGCAUGAAUAAGGACCGGCUAAUUCCGUGCCAGCAGCCGCGGUAAUACGGAAGGUCCGGGCGUUAUCCGGAUUUAUUGGGUUUAAAGGGAGCGCAGGCCGGAGGUCAAGCGUGACGUGAAAUGUAGCCGCUCAACGGCUGAACUGCGUCGCGAACUGGCUUUCUUGAGUGAGUUCGAUGUGGGCGGAAUUCGUGGUGUAGCGGUGAAAUGCUUAGAUAUCACGAAGAACUCCGAUUGCGAAGGCAGCCCACAAGGCCUUUACUGACGCUAAAGCUCGAAGGUGCGGGUAUCGAACAGGAUUAGAUACCCUGGUAGUCCGCACGGUAAACGAUGGAUGCCCGCUGUUUGCGAUAUACUGUGAGCGGCCACAGAGAAAUCGUUAAGCAUCCCACCCAGGGAGACCCCCG